AACGAACGCUGGCGGCAUGCCUAACACAUGCAAGUCGAACGAGACCUUCGGGUCUAGUGGCGCACGGGUGCGUAACGCGUGGGAACCUGCCCUUAGGUUCGGAAUAACUCCCCGAAAGGGGUGCUAAUACCGGAUAAUGUCUUCGGACCAAAGAUUUACCGCCUUUGGAUGGGCCCGCGUUGGAUUAGCUAGUUGGUAGGGUAAAAGCCUACCAAGGCGACGAUCCAUAGCUGGUCUGAGAGGAUGAUCAGCCACACUGGGACUGAGACACGGCCCAGACUCCUACAGGAGGCAGCAGUGGGGAAUAUUGGACAAUGGGCGAAAGCCUGAUCCAGCAAUGCCGCGUGAGUGAUGAAGGCCUUAGGGUUGUAAAGCUCUUUUACCCGGGAUGAUAAUGACAGUACCGGGAGAAUAAGCGCCGGCUAACUCCGUG
RNAcentral lists this ribosomal RNA (433 nucleotides) under uncultured bacterium. RNAcentral describes it as "partial 16S ribosomal RNA". It matches the Rfam family "Bacterial small subunit ribosomal RNA", at positions 29 to 507 of the family's 1533-position model. The record is from RNAcentral.